ACGAACGCUGGCGGCGUGCUUAACACAUGCAAGUCGAACGGUGAAGCGCCUUCCUUUUUGGUGGGUGUGGAUGGGCGGCGAACGGGUGAGUAACACGUGAGUAACCUGCCCCCUUCUUCUGGAUAACCGCAUGAAAGUGUGGCUAAUACGGGAUAUUCUGGGUCUGUCGCAUGAUGGGUCUGGGAAAGAUAUUGUUUCGGUGGGGGAUGGGCUCGCGGCCUAUCAGCUUGUUGGUGGGGUGAUGGCCUACCAAGGCGGUGACGGGUAGCCGGCCUGAGAGGGUGGACGGUCACACUGGGACUGAGACACGGCCCAGACUCCUACGGGAGGCAGCAGUGGGGAAUAUUGCACAAUGGGCGCAAGCCUGAUGCAGCGACGCCGCGUGAGGGAUGGAGGCCUUCGGGUUGUGAACCUCUUUCGCCAGUGAAGCAGGCCUGCCUCGUUUGUGGGUGGGUUGACGGUAGCUGGAUAAGAAGCGCCGGCUAACUACGUG
Molecule: ribosomal RNA, 493 nt
Filed under: uncultured bacterium
Lineage: Bacteria
Description: partial 16S ribosomal RNA
Rfam family: Bacterial small subunit ribosomal RNA
Source: RNAcentral